Long non-coding RNA from Empidonax traillii (willow flycatcher), 114 nucleotides. RefSeq lists it as uncharacterized. NCBI's taxonomy places the organism in Eukaryota, Metazoa, Chordata, Aves, Passeriformes, Tyrannidae. The record is from RefSeq and is a predicted model, not a curated record. The transcript has 4 exons.
CACCUUUAAAAAGGACAUGGAUUGUGCCCAGCAAAAGGCAACAAAGCUUAUGAAAGGACUAGAGAACAUGUCUUAUGAUGAAGGACUGAGGGAGCUGGGUUUGUUUAGUCUUGA